GCACAAGCGGUGGAGCAUGUGGUUUAAUUCGAUGAUACGCGAGGAACCUUACCUGGGCUCAAAUGUAUGUUGACGUAUUCUGAAAGGGAUACUUCUUCGGACAAUAUACAAGGUGCUGCAUGGUUGUCGUCAGCUCGUGCCGUGAGGUGUCGGGUUAAGUCCCAUAACGAGCGCAACCCCUAUCAUUAGUUGCCAUCAGGUCAAGCUGGGGACUCUAAUGAAACUGCCUACGCAAGUAGUGAGGAAGUGGGGAUGACGUCAAAUCAGCACGGCCCUUACGUCCAGGGCUACACACGUGCUACAAUGGCCGGUACAAAGGGCAGCUACCUGGUGACAGGAUGCUAAUCUCAAAAGCCGGUCUCAGUUCGGAUCGGAGUCUGCAACCCGACUCCGUGAGGCUGGAAUCGCUAGUAAUCGCGCAUCAGCCAUGGCGCGGUGAAUACGUUCCCGGGCCUU
Molecule: ribosomal RNA, 456 nt
Filed under: uncultured Sphingobacteriales bacterium
Lineage: Bacteria; Pseudomonadati; Bacteroidota; Sphingobacteriia; Sphingobacteriales
Description: bacterial SSU rRNA
Rfam family: Bacterial small subunit ribosomal RNA
Source: RNAcentral